GACGAACGCUGGCGGCGUGCUUAACACAUGCAAGUCGAGCGGUAAGGCCCUUCGGGGUACACGAGUGGUGAACGGGUUAGUAACACGUGGGUGAUCUGCCCUGCACUUCGGGAUAAGCCUGGGAAACGGGGUCUCAUACCGGAUAGGACACUGGGUAGCAUGUCCUGGGGUGGAAAGCUUUUGCGGUGUGGGAUGGGCCCGCGGCCUAUCAGCUUGUUGGUGGGGUGAUGGCCUACCAAGGCGACGACGGGUAGCCGGCCUGCGAGGGUGACCGGCCACACUGGGACUGAGAUACGGCCCAGACUCCUACGGGAGGCAGCAGUGGGGAAUAUUGCACAAUGGGCGCAAGCCUGAUGCAGCGACGCCGCGUGAGGGAUGACGGCCUUCGGGUUGUAAACCUCUUUUAGUAGGGAAGAAGCGAAAGUGACGGUACCUGCAGAAGAAGCACCGGCUAACUACGUGCCAGCCGCCGCAGUAA
RNAcentral lists this ribosomal RNA (478 nucleotides) under uncultured bacterium. RNAcentral describes it as "partial 16S ribosomal RNA". It matches the Rfam family "Bacterial small subunit ribosomal RNA", at positions 28 to 523 of the family's 1533-position model. The record is from RNAcentral.